GACGAACGCUGGCGGCGUGCCUAAUACAUGCAAGUCGAGCGAGCGGAACUAACAGAUUUACCUCGGUAAUGACGUUAGGAAAGCGAGCGGCGGAUGGGUGAGUAACACGUGGGGAACCUGCCCCAUAGUCUGGGAUACCACUUGGAAACAGGUGCUAAUACCGGAUAAGAAAGCAGAUCGCAUGAUCAGCUUUUAAAAGGCGGCGUAAGCUGUCGCUACGGGAUGGCCCCGCGGUGCAUUAGCUAGUUGGUAAGGUAAAGGCUUACCAAGGCGAUGAUGCAUAGCCGAGUUGAGAGACUGAUCGGCCACAUUGGAACUGAGACACGGCCCAAACUCCUACGGGAGGCAGCAGUAGGGAAUCUUCCGCAAUGGACGCAAGUCUGAUGGAGCAACGCCGCGUGAGUGAAGAAGGUGUUCGGAUCGUAAAGCUCUGUUGUUGGUGAAGAAGGAUAGAGGUAGUAACUGGCCUUUAUUUGACGGUAAUCAAUCAGAAAGCCACGGCUAACUACGUG
RNAcentral lists this ribosomal RNA (512 nucleotides) under uncultured bacterium. RNAcentral describes it as "partial 16S ribosomal RNA". It matches the Rfam family "Bacterial small subunit ribosomal RNA", at positions 28 to 507 of the family's 1533-position model. The record is from RNAcentral.